ACGCUGGCGGCAGGCUUAACACAUGCAAGUCGAACGGUAACAGGAGAAAGCUUGCUUUCUUGCUGACGAGUGGCGGACGGGUGAGUAAUGCUUGGGAAUCUGGCUUAUGGAGGGGGAUAACGACGGGAAACUGUCGCUAAUACCGCGUAGAGUCGAGAGACGAAAGUGCGGGACCGCAAGGCCGCAUGCCAUAGGAUGAGCCCAAGUGGGAUUAGGUAGUUGGUGGGGUAAUAGCCUACCAAGCCGACGAUCUCUAGCUGGUCUGAGAGGAUGACCAGCCACACCGGGACUGAGACACGGCCCGGACUCCUACGGGAGGCAGCAGUGGGGAAUAUUGCGCAAUGGGGGCAACCCUGACGCAGCCAUGCCGCGUGAAUGAAGAAGGCCUUCGGGUUGUAAAGUUCUUUCGGUAUUGAGGAAGGUUGUUGUGUUAAUAGCACGAUAAAUUGACGUUAAAUACAGAAGAAGCACCGGCUAACUCCGUGCCAGCAGCCGCGGUAAUACGGAGGGUGCGAGCGUUAAUCGGAAUAACUGGGCGUAAAGGGCACGCAGGCGGACUUUUAAGUGAGGUGUGAAAUCCCCGGGCUUAACCUGGGAAUUGCAUUUCAGACUGGGAGUCUAGAGUACUUUAGGGAGGGGUAGAAUUCCACGUGUAGCGGUGAAAUGCGUAGAGAUGUGGAGGAAUACCGAAGGCGAAGGCAGCCCCUUGGGAAUGUACUGACGCUCAUGUGCGAAAGCGUGGGGAGCAAACAGGAUUAGAUACCCUGGUAGUCCACGCUGUAAACGCUGUCGAUUUGGGGAUUGGGCUUUAAGCUUGGUGCCCGAAGCUAACGUGAUAAAUCGACCGCCUGGGGAGUACGGCCGCAAGGUUAAAACUCAAAUGAAUUGACGGGGGCCCGCACAAGCGGUGGAGCAUGUGG
Molecule: ribosomal RNA, 920 nt
Filed under: uncultured bacterium
Lineage: Bacteria
Description: bacterial SSU rRNA
Rfam family: Bacterial small subunit ribosomal RNA
Source: RNAcentral